ACUCCUACGGGAGGCAGCAGUAGGGAAUCUUCCGCAAUGGACGAAAGUCUGACGGAGCAACGCCGCGUGAGCGAAGAAGGCUUUCGGGUCGUAAAGCUCUGUUGUUAGGGAAGAACAAGUAACGCAGUAACUGGCGUUACCUUGACGGUACCUAACGAGAAAGCCACGGCUAACUACGUGCCAGCAGCCGCGGUAAU
This 197-nucleotide ribosomal RNA is filed under the name uncultured Anoxybacillus sp. Its description in RNAcentral is "partial 16S ribosomal RNA". It matches the Rfam family "Bacterial small subunit ribosomal RNA", at positions 335 to 524 of the family's 1533-position model. Lineage: Bacteria; Bacillati; Bacillota; Bacilli; Caryophanales; Anoxybacillaceae. The record is from RNAcentral.